RNAcentral lists this ribosomal RNA (478 nucleotides) under uncultured bacterium. Its description in RNAcentral is "SSU rRNA". It matches the Rfam family "Bacterial small subunit ribosomal RNA", at positions 26 to 523 of the family's 1533-position model. The record is from RNAcentral.
AGGAUGAACGCUGGCGGCGUGCCUAACACAUGCAAGUCGAACGUUCUGUCUCGCAAGAGGCAGGGAGUGGCGGACGGGUGAGUACCACGUGGGUUAUCUACCGUGAGGUGAGGAAUACCGGCGAGAAAUCGCCGACAAGACCGCAUAGCCUCGGUGCAAGCCGAGGAAAGCUUUCUCGAGAGAGGGAGCGCCACACGAGGAGCCUGCGCCCGAUUAGCUAGCUGGUGGAGUAACGGUUCACCAGGGCGACGAUCGGUAGCUGGUCUGAGAGGACGAUCAGCCACACUGGGAUUGAGAACGGCCCAGACUCCUACGGGGGGCAGCAGUGAGGAAUUUUCGUCAAUGGGGGCAACCCUGAACGAGCAACGCCGCGUGCAGGAAGAAGGUUUUCGGAUCGUAAACUGCUUUUCUCGGGGAAGAGAACGGACGGUACCCGAGGAAUCAGCCCCGGCUAACUACGUGCCAGCAGCCGCGGUAA